ACUUGCAUCAGCCAUUCCAACUGAUGCAACCCCUGGCCCUGACCCUGACCCUGCAGAUUCACCCAUUAUCCGAUUAUGCCUCAAUCGCUUGACAGCACGGUGCAACCUCUCCAACCGGAAAGACUCGCCAUCAAAGAACAGAACAGCAUCAUUAUCCUUGCAAUCCUCACUAGUGCCCUCGAAGGGUGCCUCGCUGAUUCUUAUCGAUGGAUGCUGGCUUGAACUCGUCUGACAAAGAAGGGGGAACAAUCCAAAUCAGAUGCAUAGCUUCAAACAUUGAACUCUCAGAAAACACAUUUUAUUGCAGUAAUAGUUUAAGCAACCAUAACUCUUGAAAGUAAAGAAAAAUACAAAUGUACCUAUGCA
Salvia miltiorrhiza (redroot sage) is the source of this 366-nucleotide long non-coding RNA. RefSeq lists it as uncharacterized. The record is from RefSeq and is a predicted model, not a curated record. The transcript has 2 exons. NCBI's taxonomy places the organism in Eukaryota, Viridiplantae, Streptophyta, Magnoliopsida, Lamiales, Lamiaceae.